RNAcentral lists this non-coding RNA (78 nucleotides) under Palpitomonas bilix. The record is from RNAcentral.
AAAGAAAGAAAGAAAGAAAGAAAGAAAGAAAGAAAGAAAGAAAGAGCGACAACGAGCCACUUUCGGAUGCUGUUCCAC